RNAcentral lists this transfer RNA (76 nucleotides) under Bradyrhizobium septentrionale. RNAcentral describes it as "tRNA-Phe". It matches the Rfam family "tRNA". From Rfam's summary of the family: Transfer RNA (tRNA) molecules are approximately 80 nucleotides in length. Their secondary structure includes four short double-helical elements and three loops (D, anti-codon, and T loops). The record is from RNAcentral. Lineage: Bacteria; Pseudomonadati; Pseudomonadota; Alphaproteobacteria; Hyphomicrobiales; Nitrobacteraceae.
GCCAAGGUAGCUCAGCCGGUAGAGCGCCGCGUUGAAGGCGCGGGCGUCGGUGGUUCGACCCCAUCCCUUGGCACCA